Molecule: long non-coding RNA, 701 nt
Filed under: Actinidia chinensis (golden kiwifruit)
Lineage: Eukaryota; Viridiplantae; Streptophyta; Magnoliopsida; Ericales; Actinidiaceae
Description: long non-coding RNA (ACHI_LNC005200)
Source: RNAcentral
UAUUCCGAGCUGGGCUCAUCGGUUUCAGCCCUACGGCCGUGCCCGGAUCCGUACUCCGAGCUGGGUUUCUCGUACUCACUCUUCCGACCAUACCCGGAUCCGUACUCCGAACUGGGUUCCUGACCGUACCCAGAUCCAUAUUCACUAGGUCUCUCAUACUCAGGCUUCCGACCAUACCCGGAUCCGUACUCCGAAGGCGGUUCUUCCGGCUCCGUCCUCCGGCCAUACCCAGAUCCAUAUUCACUAGGUCUCUCAUACUCAGGCUUCCGACCAUACCCGGAUCCGUACUCCGAAGGCGGUUCUUCCGGCUCCGUCCUCCGGCCAUACCCAGAUCCAUAUUCACUAGGUCUCUCAUACUCAGGCUUCCGACCAUACUCGGAUCCGUACUCCGAGGGCGGUUCUUCCGGCUCCGUCCUCCGGCCAUACCCAGAUCCAUAUUCACUAGGUCUCUCAUACUCAGGCUUCCGACCAGAUCCGUACUCCGAGGGCGGUUCUUCUGGCUCCGUCCUCCGGCCAUACCCAGAUCCAUAAUCCGGCCCCGACCCACUAAACUCGUCUUCUCCGCCGAUCCCACCACCAUGGCCAGGGCGGUUCAUCCCGGGCUGGAAACCGUAAUUGGCCUGAGGCCGAUCGAAGGCUUCCUCGCCGCCGCCGCCGCCGUAGGAGAGGCCGGGGCGGGGCUUGGGGCGGGCGUAGCUCUU